Molecule: ribosomal RNA, 1361 nt
Filed under: uncultured bacterium
Lineage: Bacteria
Description: bacterial SSU rRNA
Rfam family: Bacterial small subunit ribosomal RNA
Source: RNAcentral
AUUGAACGCUGUCGGCAGGCCUAACACAUGCAAGUCGAGCGGUAGCACAGAGAGCUUGCUCUCGGGUGACGAGCGGCGGACGGGUGAGUAAUGUCUGGGAAACUGCCUGAUGGAGGGGGAUAACUACUGGAAACGGUAGCUAAUACCGCAUAACGUCGCAAGACCAAAGUGGGGGACCUUCGGGCCUCAUGCCAUCAGAUGUGCCCAGAUGGGAUUAGCUAGUAGGUGGGGUAACGGCUCACCUAGGCGACGAUCCCUAGCUGGUCUGAGAGGAUGACCAGCCACACUGGAACUGAGACACGGUCCAGACUCCUACGGGAGGCAGCAGUGGGGAAUAUUGCACAAUGGGCGCAAGCCUGAUGCAGCCAUGCCGCGUGUGUGAAGAAGGCCUUCGGGUUGUAAAGCACUUUCAGCGGGGAGGAAGGCGGUGAGGUUAAUAACCUCAUCGAUUGACGUUACCCGCAGAAGAAGCACCGGCUAACUCCGUGCCAGCAGCCGCGGUAAUACGGAGGGUGCAAGCGUUAAUCGGAAUUACUGGGCGUAAAGCGCACGCAGGCGGUCUGUCAAGUCGGAUGUGAAAUCCCCGGGCUCAACCUGGGAACUGCAUUCGAAACUGGCAGGCUAGAGUCUUGUAGAGGGGGGUAGAAUUCCAGGUGUAGCGGUGAAAUGCGUAGAGAUCUGGAGGAAUACCGGUGGCGAAGGCGGCCCCCUGGACAAAGACUGACGCUCAGGUGCGAAAGCGUGGGGAGCAAACAGGAUUAGAUACCCUGGUAGUCCACGCCGUAAACGAUGUCGAUUUGGAGGUUGUGCCCUUGAGGCGUGGCUUCCGGAGCUAACGCGUUAAAUCGACCGCCUGGGGAGUACGGCCGCAAGGUUAAAACUCAAAUGAAUUGACGGGGGCCCGCACAAGCGGUGGAGCAUGUGGUUUAAUUCGAUGCAACGCGAAGAACCUUACCUGGUCUUGACAUCCACAGAACUUUCCAGAGAUGGAUUGGUGCCUUCGGGAACUGUGAGACAGGUGCUGCAUGGCUGUCGUCAGCUCGUGUUGUGAAAUGUUGGGUUAAGUCCCGCAACGAGCGCAACCCUUAUCCUUUGUUGCCAGCGGUCCGGCCGGGAACUCAAAGGAGACUGCCAGUGAUAAACUGGAGGAAGGUGGGGAUGACGUCAAGUCAUCAUGGCCCUUACGACCAGGGCUACACACGUGCUACAAUGGCAUAUACAAAGAGAAGCGACCUCGCGAGAGCAAGCGGACCUCAUAAAGUAUGUCGUAGUCCGGAUUGGAGUCUGCAACUCGACUCCAUGAAGUCGGAAUCGCUAGUAAUCGUAGAUCAGAAUGCUACGGUGAAUGCGUUCCCGGGCCU